ACCAUACUGGCAGGGCAUAGCUGGAGUGGCAGAAAGGUGAAGGAAUGAAAAAGCAUGAUAUUUUGCUACUGUCAACAACAUCAUGCCAUUUAUUAGAAGGGGAUGUAAUAUCCAAUAUAUAUUCAUAAGUCGUGUGAAGCGGUAUCCUGUUGACAAAACUAUUUGAUCUACAAAUUGGACCUGCAAUCAGGCAAACUUAUGAAGACAAAUCUGGUGGUUGGACAGAUGAAUUUCUCUGUAAAACUGAACUCCAUGGUCAAAUUACUUACCACUUUGGCUGCCACUAAAGUCAGAAUCGUUCCAUUCAGGACUACAAGAGGAAGAGCUUGACCCACAUUCACUUGAUACCUGCAAUAAAAAAGUCAUUAUAUUA
Xenopus tropicalis (tropical clawed frog) is the source of this 373-nucleotide long non-coding RNA. RefSeq lists it as uncharacterized. NCBI's taxonomy places the organism in Eukaryota, Metazoa, Chordata, Amphibia, Anura, Pipidae. The transcript has 3 exons. The record is from RefSeq and is a predicted model, not a curated record.